CACGUAGUUAGCCGGCGCUUCUUUACCCACUACCCUCACCACAACCAAUGUCGCGGCUUGACCAUGAGCGAAAGAGGUUUACAACCCGAAGGCCGUCAUCCCUCACGCGGCGUCGCUGCAUCAGGCUUUCGCCCAUUGUGCAAUAUUCCCCACUGCUGCCUCCCGUAGGAGUCUGGGCCGUAUCUCAGUCCCAAUGUGACCGGUCACCCUCUCAGGCCGGCUACCCGUCAAAGCCUUGGUAGGCCAUCACCCCACCAACAAGCUGAUAGGCCGCGAGCCCAUCCCCCACCAGAAAAAACCUUUCCACCAACCCCCAUGCGAAGGCCAGUGAAUAUCCAGUAUUAGCACCCGUUUCCGGGCGUUAUCCCAAAGAAGGGGCAGGUUACUCACGUGUUACUCACCCGUUCGCCACUCAUCCACCCAGCAAGCUGGGCUUCAGCGUUCGACUUGCAUGUGUUAAGCACGCCGCCAGCGUUCGUCCUGAGCCAGGAUCAAACUCU
Molecule: ribosomal RNA, 500 nt
Filed under: uncultured Actinomyces sp.
Lineage: Bacteria; Bacillati; Actinomycetota; Actinomycetes; Actinomycetales; Actinomycetaceae
Description: partial 16S ribosomal RNA
Source: RNAcentral